This 637-nucleotide ribosomal RNA is filed under the name Deinococcus xianganensis. Its description in RNAcentral is "bacterial SSU rRNA". It matches the Rfam family "Bacterial small subunit ribosomal RNA", at positions 1 to 659 of the family's 1533-position model. The record is from RNAcentral. Lineage: Bacteria; Thermotogati; Deinococcota; Deinococci; Deinococcales; Deinococcaceae.
UUUUUGGAGAGUUUGAUCCUGGCUCAGGGUGAACGCUGGCGGCGUGCUUAAGACAUGCAAGUCGAACGGGCUCUUCGGAGCCAGUGGCGCACGGGUGAGUAACGCGUAACUGACCUACCCCAAAGUCGCGGAUAACGAUUCGAAAGAAUCGCUAAUACGUGAUGUGCUGUCAGAUCUUGUUCUGCCAGUAAAGAUUGAUUGCUUUGGGAUGGGGUUGCGUUCCAUCAGCUAGUUGGUGGGGUAAAGGCCCACCAAGGCGACGACGGAUAGCCGGCCUGAGAGGGUGGCCGGCCACAGGGGCACUGAGACACGGGUCCCACUCCUACGGGAGGCAGCAGUUAGGAAUCUUCCACAAUGGGCGAAAGCCUGAUGGAGCGACGCCGCGUGAGGGAUGAAGGUCUUCGGAUCGUAAACCUCUGAAUCAGGGACGAAAGACACUUCGGUGGGAUGACGGUACCUGAGUAAUAGCACCGGCUAACUCCGUGCCAGCAGCCGCGGUAAUACGGAGGGUGCAAGCGUUACCCGGAAUCACUGGGCGUAAAGGGCGUGUAGGCGGACACUUAAGUCUGGUUUUAAAGACUGCGGCUCAACCGCAGGGAUGGACUGGAUACUGGGUGUCUUGACCUCUGGAGAGAGA